This 371-nucleotide ribosomal RNA is filed under the name uncultured organism. Its description in RNAcentral is "bacterial SSU rRNA". It matches the Rfam family "Bacterial small subunit ribosomal RNA", at positions 526 to 896 of the family's 1533-position model. The record is from RNAcentral.
CGAAGGGGGCUAGCGUUGUUCGGAAUUACUGGGCGUAAAGCGCGCGUAGGCGGUUUUGCAAGCCAGAGGUGAAAUGCCUGAGCUCAACUUAGGAAUUGCCUUUGGGACUGCGAGGCUUUGAGGACUGGAGAGGUGAGUGGAAUUCCCAGUGUAGAGGUGAAAUUCGUAGAUAUUGGGAAGAACACCGGUGGCGAAGGCGGCUCACUGGCCAGUUUCUGACGCUGCAGCGCGAAAGCGUGGGGAUCAAACAGGAUUAGAUACCCUGGUAGUCCACGCUGUAAACGAUGAGUGCUAGGCGUCGGCAUGCUUGCAUGUCGGUGCCGCAGCUAACGCGUGAAGCACUCCGCCUGGGGAGUACGGUCGCAAGAUUA